GACGAACGCUGGCGGCGUGCCUAAUACAUGCAAGUCGAGCGAAGUUUUUCUGGUGCUUGCACUAGAAAAACUUAGCGGCGAACGGGUGAGUAACACGUAAAGAACCUGCCUCAUAGACUGGGACAACUAUUGGAAACGAUAGCUAAUACCGGAUAACAGUAUUUCUCGCAUGAGAGAUAUUUAAAAGUUGGUUAUGCUAACACUAUGAGAUGGCUUUGCGGUGCAUUAGCUAGUUGGUGGGGUAAAGGCCCACCAAGGCGACGAUGCAUAGCCGACCUGAGAGGGUGAUCGGCCACACUGGGACUGAGACACGGCCCAGACUCCUACGGGAGGCAGCAGUAGGGAAUCUUCCGCAAUGGGCGAAAGCCUGACGGAGCAACGCCGCGUGAGUGAAGAAGGAUUUCGGUUCGUAAAGCUCUGUUGCUAGGGAAGAAUGGAUAUGUAGUAACUAUACAUGUAAGAGACGGUACCUAACCAGAAAGCCACGGCUAACUACGUG
RNAcentral lists this ribosomal RNA (499 nucleotides) under uncultured bacterium. Its description in RNAcentral is "partial 16S ribosomal RNA". It matches the Rfam family "Bacterial small subunit ribosomal RNA", at positions 28 to 507 of the family's 1533-position model. The record is from RNAcentral.